ACACGACUACAUUAGAUACCCCUGUAGUCCCAGCCCUAAACGAUGCGCGUUAGGUGUAUCGGUGACCACGAGUCACCGAGGUGCCGAAGGGAAACCGUGAAACGUGCCGCCUGGGAAGUACGGUCGCAAGGCUGAAACUUAAAGGAAUUGGCGGGGGAGCACAACAACGGGUGGAGCUUGCGGUUUAAUUGGAUUCAACGCCGGAAAUCUUACCGGGACCGACAGCAACAUGAAGGCCAAGCUGAAGACUUUGCCGGAUUAGCUG
RNAcentral lists this ribosomal RNA (265 nucleotides) under uncultured archaeon. Its description in RNAcentral is "partial 16S ribosomal RNA". It matches the Rfam family "Archaeal small subunit ribosomal RNA", at positions 717 to 982 of the family's 1478-position model. The record is from RNAcentral.